This 279-nucleotide ribosomal RNA is filed under the name uncultured bacterium. RNAcentral describes it as "partial 16S ribosomal RNA". It matches the Rfam family "Bacterial small subunit ribosomal RNA", at positions 506 to 784 of the family's 1533-position model. The record is from RNAcentral.
UGCCAGCAGCCGCGGUAAUACGAAGGUGGCAAGCGUUGUUCGGAAUCACUGGGCAUAAAGCGCGCGUAGGCGGCUAAGUCAGUCGGAUGUGAAAUCCCUCAGCUCAACUGAGGAACUGCGUCCGAUACUGCUUGGCUUGAGGCCUGGAGGGGAGAGUGGAAUUCCUGGUGGAGCGGUGAAAUGCGUAGAGAUCAGGAGGAGCGCCGGCGGCGAAAGCGACUCUCUGGACAGGUUCUGACGCUGAGGCGCGAAAGCUAGGGGAGCGAACAGGAUUAGAUA